AACGAACUGGGAGAUAGCUCGUUCUCCCCGAAAUAGCUUUAGGGCUAGCGUCGCGGGAUAGGUACUGGAGGUAAAGCGCUGGAUGGGCUAGGGGGCUUCAAGCUUACUGAACCCAACCAAACUGAGAAUGCCAGUACGUGGACAGCGGCAGUCGGACGGUGGGUGAUGAGAUUCAUCGUCGAGAGGGAAACAACCCAGAUCUACAGCUAAGGUCCUGAAGUCACUGCUAAGUGGGAAACGAUGUGACCGUGUCGAGACAGCCAGGAGGUUGGCUUAGAAGCAGCCACCCUUGAAAGAGUGCGUAACAGCUCACUGGUCGAACGCGGUUGCGCGGAUAAUGUAACGGGGCUCAAGCAGUGCACCGAAGCUUGGGAUGGUCGCAAGACUAUGGUAGGGGAGCGUUCCGCGGGCGGAGAAGGUGGGCUGGAAGGCACACUGGAGCGCGCGGGAGUGAGAAUGCCGGCAUGAGUAGCGUAAAACAUGUGAGAACCAUGUUCGCCGAGAAUCUAAGGUUUCCGACGGAAGGUCAGUCCGCGUCGGGUUAGUCGGGCCUAAGGCGAGGCCGAGAGGCGUAGCUGAUGGACAACCGGUUAAUAUUCCGGUACCGAGGUGUGGAGCGAAACAGGAAGGCCAUGGGAAAGGUCAGCCACCGGGUGGAUGGUGGUGGCAAGCGGUUAAUGACCGCGAAGCCGUCCCGCAAGGGAAGAAGUGACUGGCACCUGAGGACAAGAAAAACCUGUCAGCGACGAAGCAUCUCGCCCGUACCCCAAACCGACACAGGUAGAUGGGUUGAGAAUACCAUGGCGAACGGGAGAACCCUUGUUAAGGAACUAGGCAAAAAGGUCCCGUAACUUCGGGAGAAGGGACACCUCCGGAAACGGAGGUCGCAGCAAAGAGGCUCUACCGACUGUUUACCAAAAACACAGGUCUCUGCAAACGCGAAAGCGGACGUAUAGGGGCUGACACCUGCCCAGUGCCGGAAGGUUAAGAGGAGCGGUUAGCUGAAAGGCGAAGCUGUGAAUUGAAGCCCCGGUGAACGGCGGCCGUAACUAUAACGGUCCUAAGGUAGCGAAAUUCCUUGUCGGGUAAGUUCCGACCCGCACGAAAGGUGUAACGAGUGGAGCACUGUCUCAACAGGGGACCCGGCGAAAUUGAAGUACGUGUAAAGAUGCGCGUUACCCGCAGUUGGACAAAAAGACCCUGUGGAGCUUUACUGUAGCCUGUCAUUGCGUUAGGGCAUGUUCUGUGUAGUAUAGCUGGGAGGCAGCGAAACCUGGUCGCUAGAUUGGGUGGAGUCGACAGUGAAAUACCAGCCUGAAGAUGCUUUGGCCCUAACCGUAUCAUGUGAAGCCAUGAGCGGGACAGUGGCAGGUGGGCAGUUUGACUGGGGCGGUCGCCUCCAAAAGAGUAACGGAGGCGCCCAAAGGUUGGCUCAGGCGGAAUGGAAACCCGCCGCAGAGUGUAAAGGCAAAAGCCAGCUUGACUGCGAGACCAACAAGUCGAGCAGAGACGAAAGUCGGGCUUAGUGAUCCUACGGCGCUGAGUGGAAGGGCCGUAGCUUACCGGAUAAAAGCUACCCCGGGGAUAACAGGCUAGUCUUGCCCAAGAGUUCACAUCGACGGCAAGGCUCGGCACCUCGAUGUCGGCUCAUCGCAUCCUGGGGCUGGAUAAGGUCCCAAGGGUUGGGCUGUUCGCCCAUUAAAGCGGUACGUGAGCUGGGUUCAGACCGUCGUGAGACAGGUCGGUCUCUAUCCGCUGUGGGCGUUGGGAGUUUGAGAGGCACUGCCCCUAGUACGAGAGGACCGGGGUGGACGAAGCGCCUGUGAGCCGGUUGUUACGCCAGUGACAUAGCCGGGUAGCAGACUUCGGAGCUGAUAACCGCUGAAAGCAUCUAAGUGGGAAACAGACCUCAAGAUGAGACUCCCCAUUUCAACAAGAAAGUAAGACCGCUGGAAGACAACCAGUUGGAUAGGCCGGAGGUGGAAGGGCAGCAAUGUCUGUAGCCAACCGGUACUAAUGGUCGAGGGCUUUUGAGAU
RNAcentral lists this ribosomal RNA (2037 nucleotides) under Anaerolineae bacterium. RNAcentral describes it as "partial 23S ribosomal RNA". It matches the Rfam family "Bacterial large subunit ribosomal RNA", at positions 832 to 2925 of the family's 2925-position model. Lineage: Bacteria; Bacillati; Chloroflexota; Anaerolineae. The record is from RNAcentral.